RNAcentral lists this transfer RNA (66 nucleotides) under Cheirogaleus crossleyi (Crossley's dwarf lemur). RNAcentral's name for it is "tRNA-Thr". The record is from RNAcentral. Lineage: Eukaryota; Metazoa; Chordata; Mammalia; Primates; Cheirogaleidae.
GUCCUCGUAGUAUACAUAAUACCCUGGUCUUGUAAACCAAAGACGGAAACUACUCUCCCUAGGACA